GAUGAACGCUGGCGGCGUGCUUAACACAUGCAAGUCGAACGAAGCACCUCUCCCGAAGAUUGACACAGCUUGCUGUAGAUUGAUUCAUUUGAGGUGACUGAGUGGCGGACGGGUGAGUAACGCGUGGGUAACCUGCCUCAUAGAGGGGGACAACAGUUGGAAACGACUGCUAAUACCGCAUAGUAAGAAAGAUUCGCAUGUUUCUUUCUUGAAAGAUUUAUCGCUAUGAGAUGGACCCGCGUCUGAUUAGCUAGUUGGUAAGGUAACGGCUUACCAAGGCGACGAUCAGUAGCCGGCUUGAGAGAGUGAACGGCCACAUUGGGACUGAGACACGGCCCAAACUCCUACGGGAGGCAGCAGUGGGGAAUAUUGCACAAUGGGGGAAACCCUGAUGCAGCGACGCCGCGUGAGUGAAGAAGUAUUUCGGUAUGUAAAGCUCUAUCAGCAGGGAAGAUAAUGACGGUACCUGACUAAGAAGCCCCGGC
This 485-nucleotide ribosomal RNA is filed under the name uncultured bacterium. Its description in RNAcentral is "bacterial SSU rRNA". It matches the Rfam family "Bacterial small subunit ribosomal RNA", at positions 28 to 497 of the family's 1533-position model. The record is from RNAcentral.